CCCUUAGAUGUUCUGGGCCGCACGCGCGCUACACUGACGAAUGCAACGAGCUUAUAACCUUGGCCGAAAGGUCUGGGUAAUCUCCAAAUUUCGUCGUGAUGGGGAUAGAUUAUUGCAAUUACUAAUCUUCAACGAGGAAUGCCUAGUAAGCGCAAGUCAUCAGCUUGCGUUGAUUACGUCCCUGCCCUUUGUACACACCGCCCGUCGCUCCUACCGAUUGAAUGGUCCGGUGAAGCGUUCGGACCGUGGCCUUUGGACGGUUCGCCGUCUGUUGGCUGCGGGAAGUUCGUUAAACCUUAUCAUUUAGAGGAAGGAGAANUCGUANCA
Molecule: ribosomal RNA, 327 nt
Filed under: uncultured eukaryote
Lineage: Eukaryota
Description: partial 18S ribosomal RNA
Rfam family: Eukaryotic small subunit ribosomal RNA
Source: RNAcentral